GUGGCGGGGUGCCUAGACAUGCAAGUCGAACGCGAAAGUUCCCUUCGGGGGACAAGUAGAGUGGCGCACGGGUGAGUAACACGUAGGUAAUCUACCUUCGGGUGGGGAAUAACAACCGGAAACGGUUGCUAAUACCGCAUAAUGCAGCGGCACCUAAUGGUGACAGUUGUUAAAGCGGGGGAUCGCAAGAUCUCGCGCCUGAAGAGGAGCCUGCGGCGGAUUAGCUAGUUGGUAGGGUAAUGGCCUACCAAGGCGACGAUCCGUAACCGGCCUGAGAGGGCGGUCGGUCACACUGACACUGACAUACGGGUCAGACUCCUACGGGAGGCAGCAGUCGGGAAUUUUGGGCAAUGGGCGAAAGCCUGACCCAGCAACGCCGCGUGAAGGAUGAAAUCCCUCGGGAUGUAAACUUCGCAAGAACGGGAAGAAUAAGUGGAAGUUAAUACCUUCCAUGAUGACGGUACCGUUUGUAAGCUCCGGCUAACUCCGUGCCAGCAGCCGCGGUAAUACGGGGGGAGCAAGCGUUGUUCGGAUUUACUGGGCGUAAAGGGCGCGUAGGCGGCCUCCGCAAGUCAGUUGUGAAAUCUCCGAGCUUAACUCGGAAAGGUCAACUGAUACUGCGGGGCUAGAGUGCGGAAGGGGCAACUGGAAUUCUUGGUGUAGCGGUGAAAUGCGUAGAUAUCAAGAGGAACACCUGCGGCGAAGGCGGGUUGCUGGGCCGACACUGACGCUGAGGCGCGAAAGCUAGGGAGCGAACGGGAUUAGAUACCCCGGUAGUCCUAGCCCUUAAACGAUGAAUGCUUGGUGUCUGGGGUUAUAUAGUUCCCCGGGUGCCG
This 836-nucleotide ribosomal RNA is filed under the name uncultured soil bacterium. Its description in RNAcentral is "bacterial SSU rRNA". It matches the Rfam family "Bacterial small subunit ribosomal RNA", at positions 36 to 848 of the family's 1533-position model. The record is from RNAcentral.